Molecule: ribosomal RNA, 548 nt
Filed under: uncultured Glomus
Lineage: Eukaryota; Fungi; Glomeromycota; Glomeromycetes; Glomerales; Glomeraceae
Description: SSU rRNA
Rfam family: Eukaryotic small subunit ribosomal RNA
Source: RNAcentral
UUGGAGGGCAAGUCUGGUGCCAGCAGCCGCGGUAAUUCCAGCUCCAAUAGCGUAUAUUAAAGUUGUUGCAGUUAAAAAGCUCGUAGUUGAAUUUCGGGAUCAAUUUAUUGGUCGUGCUAUUGUACGUACUGGUAUUAUUGAUUCCUACCUUCUGACGAACCAUGAUGUCAUUAAUUUGGUGUCAUGGGGAAUCAGGACUGUUACUUUGAAAAAAUUAGAGUGUUUAAAGCAGGCUCACGCUUGUAUACAUUAGCAUGGAAUAAUGAAAUAGGACGUUUGAUUCUAUUUUGUUGGUUUCUAGGAUCGACGUAAUGAUUAAUAGGGAUAGUUGGGGGCAUUAGUAUUCAAUUGUCAGAGGUGCAAUUCUUGGAUUUAUUGAAGACUAACUACUGCGAAAGCAUUGGCCAAGGAUGUUCUCAUUAAUCAAGAACGAAAGUUAGGGGAUCGAAGACGAUCAGAUACCGUCGUAGUCUUAACCAUAAACUAUGCCGACUAGGGAUCGGAUGAUGUUAAUUUUUUAAUGACUCAUUCGGCGCCUUACGGGAAAC